Molecule: ribosomal RNA, 776 nt
Filed under: uncultured Neocallimastigales
Lineage: Eukaryota; Fungi; Neocallimastigomycota; Neocallimastigomycetes; Neocallimastigales
Description: partial large subunit ribosomal RNA
Rfam family: Eukaryotic large subunit ribosomal RNA
Source: RNAcentral
UGUACACGCUGUGACUAGCAUAUCAAUAAGCGGAGGAAAAGAAACUAACAAGGAUUCCCCUAGUAACGGCGAGUGAAGCGGGAAGAGCUCAAAUUUGAAAUCUUAAAGGGUUUCCCUUUACGAAUUGUAGUUUAAAGAAGUGUUUUCUGUUGAGGUUUUGGUAAAAGUUCUUUGGAAUAGGACAUCAUAGAGGGUGAGAAUCCCGUAUUUGACCUUUACUUUCAACUUUGUGAUACACUUUCAAAGAGUCGGAUUGUUUGGGAAUAGCAGUCCAAAAUGGGUGGUAAAUUUCAUCUAAAGCUAAAUAUUGGCGAGAGACCGAUAGCGAACAAGUACCGUGAGGGAAAGAUGAAAAGAACUUUGAAAAGAGAGUUAAACAGUACGUGAAAUUGUCAAAAGGGAAGCGUUUGACACCAGUGUUGUUUUUCUGAAAAUCAAUUAAAGAACUGUUUAUGCUAAGUUGUUUAGACUUUAUCAGCUAUCUGUUUAGUUUUGAGCUUUUCUUUAAUGCACUUUUCAGUUAACAAGUCAACAUCAAUUUCUUUUGCUGUAAAAAAGCUUGAGGAAGGUGGCUUGAGAUUCGUCUUAAGUGUUUAUAGCCUCUUGCCUAUGCAGUCGGAGAGAUUGAGGUCUGCAGCGUAGAUCCUUCGGGGCUAAAUGCAUUUGUGCUAAGUUAUAGCAUUUUAUAGACAACUUGUUGACUAUGAUUUGUCUUGUAGCUUACUCGCUUAUGUUAUUUUACCUACGCUUAGGAUGUUGAUAUGCAUGACUGAUAU